AAAGACAUCAUUUGCUACAAACCAAACAUCUUCGAAGGGCUUGGAUGUGGCAAAGGGCUACCUUGCCGUCUAUGUAGGAGAGAGACUGAAGCGGUUUGUAAUCCCUGUAUCAUUCUUGAACCAACCUUUAUUUCAAGACUUGUUGAGUCAAGUGGUGGAAGAAUUUGGAUAUGAUCACCCAAUGGGUGGUCUCACAAUUCCUUGUGGAGAAGAUGUGUUCUUGGAUAUCACUUCUCGCUUGAUGAGGUGCUAAUCCAUGAAGAUGAGACUAGUGUAAAUGUAUAGACACAAUUUUUGUAACAUAGUUUCUUACCUUGGAAAAGAUUCUGUCCAUUUUUAUUAUCUUUCUUGAGACAGUAUACAAAUUUUAUGAGAAAUUUCCUACAUGAAGAGUUUUCUCACAUAUUUUCUUCAUCUAUCAUUCUGGUCUGCAUAUUUCUCGAAUAAGAAAUUAGCUAGUUGUCGCUAACCAAAUAAUUCUUAAUGUACCAGAUUUAAAUUCAGCUAUUAUCUCUAAAUUUAUAACUAAGUUCAAUAAAAAAAAACUAUAUUAGGAGAAAGGAAAAGAAGAUAAGUUUCAAACAAAAUGACAGAUCCAAUGGAGAAACAAAGAGAAAAAGUCAUUGAAAUAAUUAGUAUUUGUCAACCUAUUACGUAUAACCUAUUACGUAUGAGGGAGGACCCAAUUCUUUACGAUAAGCAAUUCUUCUGAUGUAGUUAAUUCUUUGUCCUGUAACAUCUUCAUAUAUGUGAGUCAAGCAGCAACACAUUCUUGGCAUGAUUUAUGUUAGUUGGUUUUACGGCAUAACCUGGUAGUGACAAGUUCUCCAUUAAUUAUUCUUCAAACCUUGAACUAUUUUAAGAUAUUACAAUCUUUUUUUUGGAUGAAAAUAGAAAUUAAGCAUCUUAAUCCUGGAAUGGGGAUUGUUGCCCUAGUUUGAAAUUUGGGAUCUCAAAAUGAUGCAAGGACAAGCAAUUGCCCUGCUUUUUUGUUGGGUAUAAUUGUGAAAUGAAAAUGGAAUAAAAAGUGAGGUUUUGCCCCAAUGAAAAUUUAAGGGGGUGGAACCACAUGGUGAUGGAUGAGAUGAAGUAAUUUCUCCCUGUUUUCUUUCUUCUGUAAUGUUUGUUUAACAAUUAAAACAACCAAAAUAGAUAAUCUCAUCCUCUUAUAAAAUGGAAAUUAUGCUCAGAAUCUAUAUAUAAAUAAACAAAACCUUCAAUCAAAUGCAUAUGAAAUUUCUAUAACAAGGGAUAUUAUCCAUCAAAUUGAAAAACAGCAAAACUUAUUUUUUCAAGUCCAUUAUAACUGUCUUGGCAGGUGCAAAAUCUCAUGAACGGGACCAUCAGUUUUGAUUUUAAAUGUGUAUAAAAUACUUAUAAACCUUUCAAACACGUUCUAAAGAAAUUGAUGCUUCUCCUCGGCCCUAGCAAAAUACUAAUAUCUCUGCCCCCUCUCUGCCUUGUCUUCAUUGUGAAGCACUACUUCGUUUUAUAAUGAAAUUUACCAGAAUAAUCGAGUUCUUUUAGUGUUGCAACCAUUCUAAUUGUUCGGAGAAGUAAAACUUGAAAUGGAUAAAUAGAUAGAAAAUUAGAAUUUGAAUUCAUCACCAAUACUCAAAAUUUGGUAAUAAUAGUUACAAGUUCAAGAAGAUGUCUAUUGUACAAAAUGUCUCUAACAAUCUAUGUCAGUCUUCUAAAGUGAGAUCUAUUGUCUCUUGAAGCAAGAAAUUGUAUGUUGGAAGACAUCUUCGCUGCAAGGAAUUGUGAGGCCACCCAUGGGAUGAUCAUAUCCAAACUCUUCCUCAGCCUGACUCAGUAAGUCCUGGAACGAAGGUUGGCUCAAGUAUGAGAUGGGAAUCACAAACCGAUUUUGUUUCUCUCCAACAUACACGGCAAAAUAGCCCUUUGGUAUGUCUUCAGAUUUUGAAGUUGCUUGUCUUGCUGUCAAUGAUGCCCGUCGGAUGGCUGGUAAACGGAAACCCAUUUUUUGAGCUUGUUUGAAGGAAGAAGAACAAUCUCAAAUAUACAGAUAGUGAACCCAAAUUUGAUGGUUGAGGAUUCCAAAGGCUUGUGUUGUUUUUGAAGGUAUAGGAUAGUGUAUAUAUAGCUGUUAAAAGAAGGACGGCAUUCAGAUGAGAUAUCGCGUGGUGUUGUCUUCAGUACUUCUAUGAAACAUAAAGAAGAGUACAGGUGUGUAACCCCACCUUGUUCAACAACAGGCAACAUUAAGCCUCCACAUGCACCAAAUGAGACGUGGCUAAGUGAAGGCCUAAGUCUCUUCAUGCAUUAAUUGGUAUUACAUAUUAUGUCAAACAUGCUUUGGACAUGUUUUCUUCACAUCACCUAAUGUUGAAGAACAGCUGGAUAGAUGAAAUUAUAAGCCAAUGGACAGCGAGAGAUGAUAGACCAUUAUAUACAUGAGACUUGAAAUCAUACGUCUAAUCUAUUUCAAGUGGAUUGACUUGGGAUAGUGUACUAUCGACUGUAACAUCACCCAUUACUCCCAAAGAAACACUUCCAAGACAACACCAUAUGCUCUAUCGGUCCCAUGAUUCUUAUCUCAUAACCCUUCCACCCUCAAUCAUUCAAGUAGCCGACGAUUUCCUACAGCCUUUUUCAUCUAUAUAUAUUCACGGCUGCAAGCAUUUAGGGCAACAAAAAUCAUUCACAUCCUAAAGCAUUUUAACUUCAAAAACUAGCUUCUUCCUUACAACUCUCUUUUCUCUACUUUCUCUUCCCAAGUAUCAGCAACAUAUAAAACAUGGGUUUUCGUUUACCUGGUAUCAGAAAGGCCUCCCUUCCUUCAAUCCAAGCAUUUUCAAAAGCUGUGGACGUGCCAAAGGGUUACAUUGCAGUCUAUGUCGGAGAUAAAAUGAAGCGGUUCAUGAUCCCUGUAUCUUACGUGAACCAACCUUCAUUUCAAAAUUUGUUGAGUAAAGCUGAGGAAGAAUUUGGGUAUGAUCAUCCACUGGGUGGUCUCACAAUUCCUUGUGGAGAAGAUGUGUUCUUAGAUAUCACUUCUCGCUUCAAUAGAUGUUAAGUGCAUGAAGAUGGAACUGACUUAGAUGUAGACUAUAUACUUGACACAAUUUUGUAUUGUAGUGUCCUACCUUGAAAAUAUUCUUUCUCUCCUCUUUGAUAUCUCACUUUGUAAAAGAAAUUUCAUUUGAAAUAGAAGUUUGGGAACACUUACAGUUUUCUCAUUUUCUCCUCUCUUAUAUAUAUAUAUAUAUAUAUAUAAUCCAAUGCUAAUAAGCUGAAAUGUUCCGUUCAGAAUCAUCGUGUAGCAGCACCAUACAUGACAACUAUUCACCCAUAUGACGAUGCCUGAUUUAGUUAUGAUUAACGAAAUUUGAUCACCUCUGUUUCAAGCAGCAGCCCCUUCUUCACAUGGGCUAUUCAACAUAUUAUAGUUGGUUUUAGGACCAGAAUAUAAGAUAAGUUUGAUUGAAAUACAUUGAUAGUGUUUUUUAAAGAUUAUUUAAUCAUAGAUUGACACAUAAUUGAAAAUAUAUUAAAAUCCAUGCAUUUUGUUGCCAAUGUAGUCUGCUACACAACUCUCCGAAACACAGGUGCUAUCCAAAGAGCACAAACCUCCACCAGACACUCAUAAAUGUGUGAGCUGAAGGCAAAGCCUAAAUCUUCCAAAAAGUUGUUAUACAAACUCGAGGAAUCCCCCUCUACCGAACCCUUUAAAAAACCAUUCACAGAGUUAACUGAAUAAUCUGUGUUACCUCCAUCCUUCCAGACCCAUUUAUCCUCGAUAUCAAGAAAGGGACUCGAAAAUUGCACAACCCCCAGAAGCUGACUAACCUGUUCCAUUUCCCAAGCAAAAAGACCUCUUCUCCAAGCCAAGUCUCACACCCAAACAUUAUUAACCCAAUCCCCACAAAGAGAAAGCUUAGCGUCUUUGAUCAUUGACAAUGAAAAAAAGCCUUAGGAAAGAUCUUUUCAAGCUGCCAGGACCCAACCAACUAUCUUCCCAAAAAGGUAACUCCUUCCCGUUUGCAAGCUUCCACCUAAAACGAUUUUCAAAGGACAUUCUCCAAACUUCCUACUUCCAGACCGCUUUCAAAUCUCUCCACCAGAGUGACUCAUAAUUGCAAAGUCGUUGCUCUUUGAGGUUUCCCCACCCACCAUAUUUAGACUCUAGAAUGUCCUUCCAGAGUCUUCCCUUAAUCUGACUCGGACGCCAUAUACAUUUUCCCAGUAAGGCCAAAUUAAAGAGCCUAAUAUUAAGGAUGCGAAGACCGCCUGCUUCCUGAGACUCACACACCUUGUCCCAAGACGCUCAGUCAAUUUUCCUCCCCUCGGAUCCCUAGUCCCACAAAAAGUUCCUUUGUAGCUUCACAAUCUUCUUCACAACAGUGGCAGACAUCUUGAACAAAGAUAAAUAGAACAAUGAUAUAGACGAAAGAACAAACUUGAUCAAGCAAAUCCUCCCAGCCAUUGAGAGAAAUCUCCCUUUCCAAGAACUCAAUCUAGUAUUGAUUCUGUCAACUACACCGUCCCAAAAUGCGCUCCUCUUCUGACACCCCCCAAUUGGCAACCCCAAGUACUUGAAAGGGGUUUUCGUCACUUCGCAAUUCAGAAUAGACGCAAAUCAGAGAAUAGCUUUCUGAUUGACCCCCACCCCACCAAUUCUGCUCUUCGAGAAAUUCACCUUCAGACCAAAAGCUAGCUCAAAGCAAUUCAACAUAACCCUAAGGUUGUACACACUUUUAAUGCUGGCAGCGCAAAAAACAAGGUGUCAUAUGCAUAUUGAAGCAUAUUAACCUUAACCUUCUUGUACCCAACCUCAAGGCUCUCAAACAAGUUUUUGUCAACAACAUUCCUAGACACCCCGACAAGUCCUUCAGUUGCAAUAAGAAACAAAAAUGGUGCUAACGGAUCUCCUUGCCUCAAGCCUUUCUUCGGAGUAAACUCCUUAGUCGGGCUACCAUUUACUAGUACAAACACCGUCGCGGAUUCCAAACAAGAUUUAAUCUAGGAAAUCCACUUCUCGCAAAACCCAAGUUUGUCUAUCAUGUAAAAGAUAAAUUCCCAACGCACAGAGUCAUAUGCCUUCUCAUAAUCCACCUUAAAAAGACACAACUUUUCUUUUUCUGCUUCACCUCCUCCAACACUUCAUUACCCACUAAAACACUAUCAAGUAAACAUCUUCCUUCGAGGAAAGCAUAUUACCUAAGAUUAAUGAAUUUAUUCAGCACUUAGAAAUAAUCUUGUAUAUGCACCCCACUAACGAAAUUGGUCUGAAAUCACUCAAUUGUUGUGAAUUGUCGAUUUUCGGGAUGAGACAGAUGAACGGCGUGUUUGACCUCCUUGCCUAUAUUCCUCUAAAUGCAAAUUCAUUCACUGCCGAGAGGAUAUCCUCCUUUAAACAUUCCCAAUAGAACUUAAUGAAACCAAAGUUGAAACCAUCUGGGCCAGGGCUUUUCGAGCUGUCACAACUCCAAACUGCAUCCGUAACUUCCUCUUCAGAAAACGCACCUACUAGCAUCUCGUUGUCGUCGCUAGAAAUUCUAUUAAAACCUAUAUUAUUCAAUCUGACCUGCGGCCCAACAUUCCCAUCAAAUCUGGCUUUGUAAAAAUCUCUGACCUUAUUUUUAACCACAUCCUUGUCUUCGCACCAAAGACCAUUCUCAAAGACCCUGUUAAUCCCAUUUCUCGCUCUUCUCCACUUAACUACCGAAUGAAAGAAUUUUGAAUUUAAAUCGCCUUGUUUUAACCACUUUUGGCGGGCUUUUGACUAAAUGUAACAAAACAUUUUUUGCAUAUGCUGCUAAGCAAGCCCAUUAUCAAUCAGGUUCAAGUGAGUUGACAAGCCUUCCAGCAGCUUCAGAAUGGAAGCCCUGACCAAGAUUCCUGCAUCCCCCAAACUCUGUCGAAGUUUGUCUUCAGCUUUUAAGCUGCAUUUCUGAUGAACCAUUAAGGUCCAGUUUUGCAUAUAAUCUGAGCCUUUCUCUAAGGUUUGCAAUCAGAACCGAAAAUGCAUUUUGCAUAACUUCUGAGCUGCACUCUCGAUCAGUUGUGAUACCACAAGUCCUAUACAUAUGUGCAUUGUGUUGCCUAUGUAGUUUGCUACACAGCUCUCCGAAACACAGGUGCUAUCUAAAUAGCACAGACCUCCACCAGACACUCAUAAAGCUGCGAUUAAUAAGCUGCAAAAUAGGUUAUCCUUUCCCAAUUUGUCUUUGUGCUCUUGAUCUGCAUAACUUUUUGGCGUUGCAACCUGCAUAACAAAGAUAGUGUAUAUAUAGUUUUAAAGACUACCUAGAAAUUGAAUUUGAAGGAAAAGACUGUUAAUAGGAUGGAGGGCAUAUACAUGAAAUAUCAUGUGGUUCUGUCUUCAAGGCCUCUAUCAAGGAUAAAGUGGUGUAGACAUGUGUAACUCCACCACCUUAUCAAACACACGAGAAGUACACAAGUGAUGUUAAACGCUCAUUCAUGCAUUAAUUGGAAUUUCAUAAUGGUGUAAAUAUGUUUGGGACAUGUUUUCUUCAGGUUGAUAAUGCAGCCUAAUGUUUAAGUAAUGUACAGAUGGAAAGUAAUUUCCGACUAUUGAAUUAUAAGGCUACGGAUAGCAAGAGAUUUUAGACCAUAAUAUUUUAGAGGUUUAGAUCAUACGUCCGUUUUAUUUCAAGUGGAUUCACUUGAGAAGGUGGGGCCCAUACUCUCCACUGUAACAUGUUACAUUAUUCAUCCUUGAGAAAGUCCUACAAGGCAACAACACAUGCCCCUGUCUCACUGUUGGUCCCGUGAAUCAUAUCUCAUCGCUCUUUCACUCAACUAUUUAUGUGGACAACAAUUAUACACUGUUCUUUCAUCUCUAUAUAUAUCUGCAACUCUACAAGCCUUUAACACAACAAAAAUCAUUCACUUCCCAAAAGUAUUUGAAGUUCAUAAACUUGCAUCUUACAGAAUCAUUUUUCAUAACUUUUUUUCCGAAGUCUCAACACAUACAACAAUGGGGUUUCGUUUACCUGGUAUGAGAAAGACAUCAUUUGCUACAAACCAAGCAUCUUCGAAGGGCAUGGAUGUGGCAAAGGGCUACCUUGCAGUCUAUGUAGGAGAGAAAAUGAAGAGGUUGAACCAACCAUCAUUUCAAAACUUGUUGAGUCAAGCUGUGGAAGAAUUUGGGUAUGAUCACCCAAUGGGUGGUCUCACAAUUCCUUGCGGAGAAGAUUUGUUCUUGGAUAUCACUUCUCGCUUGAUGAGGUGCUAGUCCAUAUAGAUGACAUAGAUGUAUAUGUACAGACACAAUUUUUGUAGCAUAGUUUCUUACUCAAUUUAUUCUAUAUUGGGACAGUACAAAAAAUGUUAUCAGAAAUUUCCUACAAGACGAGUUUUCUCACAUAUUUCUUCCAUCUGUCAUACUGAUCUACGUAGUUGUUGAAUAUGAAAUUAGCUACUCGUCUCUCUAACCAAAUAAUUCUUAAUGUAUCCGAUUAAAAUUCAGCUAUUAUCUCUACAUUUUGUAACUUAGUUCAAUAUAAAAAAUAACUACAUUAUGAGAGAGAGGAAAAGGAGAUAACUUUAAAACAAGAUCACGGAUGCAAUAGAGAAAUAGAGAAAAAAACUCAUCGAAAUUUAAGCCUUUAUGAACCUGAAGUGGUUUUCAUCUUGCUUAAAGAUUUUUGUGAAACAUCCAUGGUCACUGAAAAUCCGAAAUAUGGCGUGACACGAGUUCAAAUCCAUUCAUAGAAGUCUCUGUGAUUCACAUAUGAGGGAGGACCUAAUUCUUUAUUAUAAACAAGUCUUCAUAUAUGUGUGUUAAGCGCCAACACCAUCUUUGCUUAAUCAUGUUAGAUGGUUUUACGGCCACAACAGGUUAUUGUAAUGACGAGUUCUCCAUUGAUUGAAUAUUCUUCAAACCUUGAACUAUUAUAAGUAGUAUCUUACUCCUGAAAUGGGGGAUAAUUGCCCCAGUUUGUAAUCUGGGAUCUUAAGAUGAUGGAAGCAUAAGCAACUGCCCUGCUUUUUUAUUGGGUAAAAUUGAGAAAAGAAAAUGGAAUAAAAAGUGAAGUUUUCCCCAAUGAGGAUUUUAAGAGGGUGGAAUAACAUGGUGAUGGAUGGGAUGAAGUAAUUUCUCCAUUUUCUUCUUUCUUCUGUAAUGUUUGUUUAACAAUUCAAAAAAAAAAAAAUAAACAAUAUCAUCCUCUUACAAAAUGGAAACUGUGUAUGUAGAAUCUAUAUACAGAUAAAAGAAACCAUACCUCAAAAUCAUAUGUAAUUUUUAUAAUCCUAUCCAUUAAAAUGAAUGCGAAGAACACAACUUAACACAACUUAACUUGAAGUCCAUUAAACUGUCUUGCUAGGCAAAAACCACUAGUGUGUAUAAAACACUUAAAAAACUUUCAAAUCCAUUCUAAAAAGAUUGAUUCUUGUCCUCAGCACUAUAAAAGUACUAAUAUCUCCACCCCCUCCCUGCCUUCCCCUGAUCGCGAAGCACUGGUUUUCUUAUGCUGUGGAACUUAAGAAAAUAUAUAGUCGAUUUCUAGUGUUGUAUACCAUUCCAACUACUGGAGAAGUAAACAUUGAAAGAUGUAAAUAGAAAGACUUAGCAUUUGAAUUCGUUAUCAUUACUCAAAAUUUGGUAAUAAUAGUUACAAGUUCGAGAAGAUGCCCAUUGUACAAAAAUGUCUCUAAUAAUCUAUGUUAGUCUCCUAAAGUGAGAUCUAUUGUCCCUUGAAACAAGAAACUGUAUGUUGGAAGACAUCCUCACUGCAAGGAAUUGUGAGGCCACCCAUGGGAUGAUCAUAUCCAAACUCUUCCUCAGCUUGACUCAGUAAGUCUUGGAAUGAAGGUUGGUUCAAGUAUGAGAUGGAAAUCACAAACCGUUUUUGUUUCUCUCCAACAUACACGACAAAAUAGCCCUUCGGUAUGUCCUCAGAUUUUGAAGUUGCUUGUCUUGCUGUCAAUGAUGCCCUUCGGAUGGCAGGUAAACGGAAACCCAUUUUUUGAGCUAGUUUGAAGGAUGAAGAGAAAUCUCAAAUUUACAAAGAGUGAACCCAAAUUUUUAUGCUUGUCGAAGGCUUGUGUUGUUUUUGAAGGUAUAGGAUAGUGUAUAUAUAGCUGUGAAAAGAAGGAGGGCAUACAGAUGAGAUAUCACGUGGUGUUGUCUUCAAUACUUCUAUGAAGCAUAAUGAAGGGUACAGGAGUGUAACCCCACCUUGUUGAACAACAGGCAACAUUAAGCCUCCACAUGUACCCAAUGAAACGUGGCUAAGUGAAGACCUAAAUUUCUUCAUGCAUUAAUUGGUAUUACAUAUUUUGCAAAACAUGCUUUGGACAUGUUUUCUUCACUUCACCUAAUGUUGAAGAACAGCUGGAUAGAUGAAAUUAUAAGGAAAUGGACAGCGAGAGAUGAUAGACCAUUAUAUUCAUGAGAUUUGAAAUCAUAAGUCUAAUCUAUUUCAGGUGAAUUGGCUUGAGAUAGUGUACUAUCGACUGUAACAUCUCCCAUUCAAGUAGCCGACGAUAUCCUACAAAAAAUUUCAUCUAUAUAUAUAUUCUAGGCUGCAAGCCUUUGGGACAACAAAAAUCAUUUCCUAAACCAUUUUAACUUCACAAACUAGCAUCUUAUUUGCAACUCUCUUUUCUCAACUUUCUCUUCCCAAGUAUCAACAUAUAAAACAUGGGUUUUCAUUUACGUGGUAUCAAAAAGGCAUCCCUUCCUGCAAUCCAAGCAUUUUCAAAAGUUGUGAACGUGCCAAAGGGUUACAUUGCAGUCUAUGUUGGGGAUAAAUUGAAGCGCUUCAUGAUUCCUGUAUCCUACUUAAACCAACCUUCAUUUCAAGAUUUGUUGAGUCAAGCUGAGGAAGAAUUUGGGUAUGACCAUCCAAUGGGUGGUCUCACAAUUCCUUGUGGAGAGGAUGUGUUCUUAGAUAUCACUUCUCGUUUCAAUAGGUGCUAAUUGCAUGAAGAUGAAACUGACUUAGAUGUAGACUAUACUUGACACAUUUUUGUAUCUUAGUUUCUUACCUUGAAAAUAUCCCCUCUCUAUUUUUCUUAUCUUGUUUAGGCAAGUGUAAAAAAUAUUAAUCUGAAUGAGAAGAUUUCUACACAAUGUUUUUUCUCACAUUUUUUGUGAAUCUGACCUAUAUAAUUACUGAAUAAGAAAUUUGUUAAAAAUCUUAUCUGUAUCACAUUUUCGCUUCAUCUAUCAUGAGUGAUGUAACAGAGAAAUAAAACGAAGCAUUCAUGAAAAUUAUAAGCUUUUGUUAACCUGAACUGCUUUGGUUCACCUGGCUCCAAGUGCUAUGCGAACAUCUCUGGUCACUUGAAUAUUUCCUGACAUGAGAUCAUAUUUCAUUCAUAAAAUUCUUUCACCCACCUAUGAAGGAGGCCUCAUUAAGCAGCAUCUCACCAUGUUUUCAUGAUGGAGUUUGUUAGUUUUACUUGAAGCAGUUGAAGAAAUUUUAAUCACCUUGUUUUGGAUGAAAACAGAGAUUAAAAAUCUUAAUCCUGGAACGGGGGAUAAAGUGACUGCCCUAUUUUAUAUAAUAGAUAUAUAUGUUAUCCACUGAAAUUAAUAGGAACAACAAAACUUCAUUUGAAGUCCAUUAUAACUGCCAUGGCUGGGGCAAAAUCUCACGUAUGAUUGGAACCAUGAAUUUUAAUUUAACACGUGUGAAUAAAACUUCAAAAAUAUAUUUAAAUUCGUCCCUCACAAAUUGAUGCUUUUCGUUUACCAUAGCAAAACACUCUUACUCUGCCCUGGGCUGACUGUGCAGAUCUUGGUUUUCUAGGCUGACGAAUUUGUGAGAACAAAAGUCUUUUUUGUGGAACAUAAUAAAUGUGGCUCUUAAAUGAUUUUAUGAGCAGUUACUAGAAAUAUUAAAUCAAUAAUUAAAACAUAAUUAAAACAACAGAGGAAUAAUAAAAUAUCACGUGUGCAUUUAUAUGCAGUUAAAAAACACAAUAUCCAACACUCUCCUUGAUUUUUUGAACUGCAAAUUCCAAUCUUCGGUCUUGAGAACUCAAACUUGUUGGCUGGGAGUGGCUUGAUAAACAAAUCUGUAAUUUUUUUUUUCAUCAUCGCUUUGCUUAAUCUCCAUUCAACACCUUUUGAUUUGACAUAAGGUGCAAAUUCUAAAAGACUUUUGUUAAAGUCUAAGCUGAUAAGAUAAUCAUCAAUUCGGUUAUACCAUGUUCUGGGAACAUCUUUUAAGCUAUAAAUAGCUUUAGAUAACUUAUAAACUUUGUCUUCUUUUCCUUCCACAAUGAAACCUUUAGGUUGCUCAACAGAAAUUUCUUCUUCAAUAAAUCCAUUAAGGAAUGUUGACUUGACAUCCAUUUGAUGUACCUUUCUAUCUCGAGGUAUGUCAACAAGCUCCCGAAUUUUGUUCUUCUCAAUCAUAUACACAUCUUUCUCCAUUGUCUUUUUCAACUUUGGGUCAUUGAUAACUUCUUUGUGAUCAGCACAAGUUCUUUGUGAUCAGCACAAGUUCUUUGUGAUCAGCAGGUUCACAUACUGCAACGUUACAUUUAUGAUAUAUGUCAGAGAAUGAUCGAUUGCCUUUAAUUGGUGGAUCAUCUUCCAUUUCAGAUUUUUGCAUCUUGAGAAGCCAUUGACUAGUCAGCUCCUCUUGAAAUAGAUCUAAUGAGAAACUUUUGCCUCUCAUUUGUACCUUGAACAAAUCUUGCCCUGUAGCAUCCUUGAUCAAACAAUAGUUAUCUUCAAAAAACAUUGGUUCCUAUUCCUUUUAUUGAAAUGUGACCCCCAUGACCUAUCUUGACCUUUGAAAUUUUUGAAGGCUUCAACUCAUUGAAUUUUUUUUUGUCAUAAGUCAUGUGAUUUGUGCAUCCACUAUCAAUUAGCCAAGAUGCACUUGAAAUAUUGCUGGAGAAACCAGUUGCAAAGAAAAGUACAUCCUCCUCCUCAUUUGCAAAUUGAGCAUCUACAUCUACGUCUUGUGCUCACUUUGGUUUCCAUCUUGUUGCUCACUUUGGUUUCUACAAAUGACUGCUUUUGAUUGCACUUGUUGCACUUAGCAUCAGGUCUUCUCCAGGACUUAAAUGGUGGAUGACCUAACUUGUUGCAAAUUGCAAUGCUUACAAGGAGGGUAAUUUCUCCUUUUGUUGUUAUUGUGUGCAGCAACUUCUCCAUUUGCUGGUUAUGCUUGAUUUUUUUUGUUUCUCCAGCCACCUUCAUGUUUGGCUGUUAAGGCUCCUUCUAUUGCUCCAUCUUUUCUCAUGACUUUUCUUUGUUCUUGUGCUUGUAAAGCAUUUAAGAGCUCUGCAAGAGAAAUUUUUGAUAGGUCCUUUGUGUUCUCUAGGGUUGUUACGGUGGCUUCAAACUUCUCUAGAACAGUUACAAGCAGUUUUUUCACAAUUCUUGAAUCUUUUAACACAAAUCCAAGCAACCUCACUUUGUUGGCAAUGCUUAGAAGUCUCUCAGGGUACUCUUUUACGGAUUCUGACUCCUUCAUUAUCUGCAUUUCAAACUCCCUGAUUAGAUUCAACACUUGCAUUCCACGAAUCCUCUCAUCGCCUUCAUAUUCUUCCUUGAGGCAAUCCCAUAUUUCUUUUGCUAACUUCAAAGACAUUAUCCUUGUGAAUACCAUAGGAGAUACAACUGCAAAUAGACAUGCUUUUUCCUUUGAUCUUUUCAUCUUCUUUUUCUUCUGUGAUUUUAUUUGUGCCACAGUAGGGUUUUCUGGAAGGGACUAAAUUUCAUAAAUCAAAUGCUUCUAGGUAGGUCUCCAUACGAACAACCCAUAUUUGAUAAUUGUCUCUAUGAAAGACAGGUGGUGUCAUUGCUGAAAAAUUGGAACCUCCUUCCAUUGAUGCCCCCUACUAACCUUGGUUUUUUUAGAAUAAAUCAGAUGAAGAUAUUUUUAUUAUUUUUGCUAACAAUUACAUUUAUAGUACUUGCAGUAACUAACUCUUAAAUGAUUUUAUGAACACUUACCUAGAAAUAUUAAAUCAACAAUUAAAACAGAAGAAUAUAAUAUCACGUGCACUUAUGUGCAUUUAUAUGCAAUUAGAAAACACAAUAUCCAAUAUCCAACAGAAUGUCAGUAUCCUAAAGUGUGAGAUUUAUUGUCCAUUCAAGCAGGAAGUUAUAUGUUCAAAGACAUCUUCAGUACAAGGAAUUGUGAGGCCACUAUGGGAUGAUCUAUCCAAACUCUUCCUCAGCUUGACUCAAUAAAUAUUAGAGGGAAGGUUGGUUCAAAUAUGAUAUGAAAAGAACAAACAGCUUCUGUUUCUCUCCAGCAUACACUGCAAGAUAUUGGUUUGCAACUUUUACAGAUUUUGAAGCUGCAUGCCUACCUGUGGGAUGACUGUCAAUAGCAAGUAAGCGGAAACACAAUUUUUGUGCUUGUUAUGAGAAGAAAGAAGAACAAUAUGAGAUUAACAUUGAAUGGACCUAAAAUUUCAUGUUUGUGGAUGACAAUAAAGAUAGUGUAUAUAUAGUUUUAAAGACUCCCUGGAAACUGAAUUUGAAGGAAAAUGUAGAUUUUUUAGGAACAAAGGCAAUAGUUAACAGAGAAGAAAAUGGAGAGUAUGCAAAUCUGAUUAAAGACUGGGAUUGCUAACUGCUGCAAACUAUUAUUUUAAGGCAACUAAAUUAAAUACACUCAGAUAAUAACAGACUAAGAUAUUAGGUUUCAUGAUUCUAGACACUACAUUGAUCAUGAAAAUAGUUAAUCCACUAACAGCUAAUUCAACAGAAUAAAUUUCACUUAUUCAAGAAUGAAACAAUUCUGACAAGUUCCUGAAUAUAUGAAACACCCAAAGACACGUUCUCAAUAGAAAAGACUGUUAAAAGAUGAAGGGCAUACACAUGAGAUAUCAUGUGGUUCUAUCCUCAAUGUCUUUCUCUAGGAUAAAGUUGUUUAUUCAUGCAUUAAUUGGUAUUUCAUGAUUGUGUACAUAUGCUUGGGACAUGUUUUCUUCAGGUUGAUAAUGCAGCCUAAUGUCUAAGUAAUGUACAGAUGGAAAGUAAUUUCCGACUAUUGAAUUAUAAGGCUACGGAUAGCAAGAGAUUUUAGACCAUAAUAUUUUAGAGGUUUAGAUCAUACGUCCGUUUUAUUUCAAGUGGAUUCACUUGAUAAGGUGGGGCCCACACUCUCCACUGUAACAUGUUACAUUAUUCAUCCUUGAGAAAGUCCUACAAGGCAACAACACAUGCCCCUGUCUCACUGUUGGUCCCGUGAAUCAUAUCUCAUCGCUCUUUCACUCAACUAUUUAUGUGGACAACAAUUACACACUGUUCUUUCAUCUCUAUAUAUAUCUUCAACUCUACAAGCCUUUAACACAACAAAAAUCAUUCACUUCCCAAAAGUAUUUGAAGUUCAUAAACUUGCAUCUUACAGAAUCAUUUUUCAUAACUUUUUUUCCGAAGUCUCAACACAUAUAACAAUGGGGUUUCGUUUACCUGGUAUGAGAAAGACAUCAUUUGCUACCAACCAAGCAUCUUCAAAGGGUAUGGAUGUGGCAAAGGGCUACCUUGCAGUCUAUGUAGGAGAGAAAAUGAAGCGGUUUGUAAUCCCUGUAUCAUACUUGAACCAACCAUCAUUUCAAAACUUGUUGAGUCAAGCUGUGGAAGAAUUUGGGUAUGAUCACCCAAUGGGUGGUCUCACAAUUCCUUGCAGAGAAGAUUUGUUUUUGGAUAUCACUUCUCGCUUGAUAGGUGUUAAUCCAUAUAGAUGACAGAGAUGUAAAUGUAUAGACACAAUUUUUGUAGCAUAGUUUCUUACUUUGACAAUAUUCUCUGUCCAUUUUUAUUCUAUAUUGGGAAAGUACAAAAUUGUUAUCAGAAAUUUCCUACAAGACGAGUUUUCUCACAUAUUUCUUCAUCUGUCAUUCUGAUCUACCUAGUUGUCGAAUAAGAAAUUAGCUACUCGUCUCUAACCAAAUAAUUCUUAAUGUAUCCGAUUAAAAUUCAGCUAUUAUCUCUACAUUUUGUAACUUAGUUCAAUAAAAAAAUAACUGCGUUAUAACCGAGAGGAAAAUAAGAUAAGUUUAAAACAAGAUCAUGGAUCCAAUAGACAAAUAGAAAAACUCAUCGAAAUUUAAGCCUUGAUGAAUCUGAAGUGCUUUGAUUUCAUAUUGCUUCAAGAUUUUUGUAAGCCAUCCAUGGUCAAUGAAAAUCUAAAAUAUUGCUUGACACGAGAUCAAAUCCAUCCAUAAAAGUCUCUGUGAUUCACAUAUGAGGGAGGACCUAAUUCUUUAUGAUAAACAAGUCUUCACAUAUGUGUGUCAAGUGCCAACACCAUCUUCGCUUGAUCGUGUUAGUUGGUUUUAGGGCCACAACAGGUUAUGGUAGUGAACUAUUUUAAGAGAUUACCAUCUAUUUGGGAAGAAAAUAGAAAUUAGGUAUCUUACUGUGAGGAGUUAAGUUUUUUUUAGAAGAGUGUAUUAUUCUGAAUACAUAAAUGAAGGUGUAUCAGCUUCUACAUGAUGUAGAAGCUUAAGUACCAUACUCCUGGUAUAGGGGAUUAUUGACCCAGUUCGUAAUGUGGGAUCUCAAGAUGAUGCAAGGACAAGCAAUUGCCCUCCUUUUUUUAUUGGGUUGAAUUGAGAAAGGACAUAGGAAUAAAAAGUGAGGUUAUCUCCAAUGAGGAAUUUAAAGUGUGUGGAAUCACCUGGUGAUUGAUGGGAUGAAGUAAUUUCUCCCUUUUCUUUCUUUCUUUAUUUUGUAAUGUUUGUUUAACAAUUCAAACAAUCUAAUCCUCUUAAAGAAUGGAAACUGUAUUCGUAGAAUCUACAUAUAGAUAAAAAGAAACCUUGCAUCAAAUGCAUAUGAAAUUUUUAUAAGAAGGAUCUUAUCCAUUGAAAUGAAUGGGAACAACACAACUUAAUUUUAAGUUCAUUAUAACAUUUCAAACCAUUCUAAAGAAGUUGAUGCUUCUCCUCGGCACUAUAAAAAUACUAAUAUCUCCACCCUUCCCCACCUUGCCCUGAUUGUGAAGCAGAUGGUUUUCUUAUGCUGCGGAACUUAUGAGAAUAGUGGAGUCUUUUUAGUGGUUUAUACCAUUCCCAUUGCUGGGAGAAGUAAACAUUGAAAUAGAUCUCUUAUAAAGACUUAGCAUUUGAAUUCGUUAUCAUUACUCAAAAAUUUAGUAAUAAUAGUUACAAGAUCGAGAAGAUGCCCAUUGUACAAAAAUGUCUCUAAUAAUCUAUGUUAGACUCCUAAAGUGAGAUCUAUUGUCCCUUGAAGCAAGAAAUUGUAUGUUGGAAAACAUCUUCACUGCAAGGAAUUGUGAGGCCACCCAUCGGAUGAUCAUGUCCAAACUCUUCCUCAGCUUGACUCAAUAAGUCUUGGAAUGAAGGUUGGUUCAAGUAUGAAAUGGAAAUCACAAACCGUUUUUGUUUCUCUCCAACAUACACAGCAAAAUAGCCCUUCGGUAUGUCUUCAGAUUUUGAAGAUGCUUGUCUUGCUGUCACUGAUGCCCGUCGGAUGGAAGGUAAACGGAAACCCAUUUUUUGAGUUUGUUUGAAGAAAGAAGAACAAUCUCAAAUUUACAGAGAAUGAACCUAAAUUUUGAUGCUUGAGGAUUACAAAGGCUUGUGUUGUUUUUGAAGGUAUAGGAUAGUGUAUAUAUAGCUGUUAAAAGAAGGAGGGCAUAGAGAUGAGAUAUCACGUGGUGAUGUUUUCAGUAUUUCUAUAAAGCAUAAAGAAGGGUACAGGAGUGUAACCCCACCUUGUUCAACAACAGGCAACAUUAAGCCUCCACAUGUACCCAAUGAAACGUGGCUAAGUGAAGGCCUAAAUUUCUUCAUGCAUUAAUUGGUAUUACAUAUUUUGCAAAACAUGCUUUGGACAUGUUUUCUUCACUUCACCUAAUGUUGAAGAACAGCUGGAUAGAUGAAAUUAUAAGGAAAUGGACAGCGAGAGAUGAUAGACCAUUAUAUUCAUGAGAUUUGAAAUCAUAAGUCUAAUCUAUUUCAGGUGAAUUGGCUUGAGAUAGUGUACUAUCGACUGUAACAUCUCCCAUUACUCCCUAAGAAACACAUUCAAGGCAACACCAUGUGCCCUUUCUGUUCUAUCGGUCCCAUGACUCUUAUCACAUAGCCCUUCACUCUCAAUCAUUCAAGUAGCCGACGAUAUCCUACAAAAACUUUCAUCUAUAUAUAUAUUCUAGGCUGCAAGCGUUUGGGACAACAAAAAUCAUUUCCUAAACCAUUUUAACUUCACAAACUAUCAUCUUAUUUGCAACUCUCUUUUCUCAACUUUCUCUUCCCAAGUAUCAACAUAUAAAACAUGGGUUUUCAUUUACGUGGUAUCAGAAAGGCAUCCCUUCCUGCAAUCCAAGCCUUUUCAAAAGUUGUGAACGUGCCAAAGGGUUACAUUGCAGUUUAUGUUGGAGAUAAAAUGAAGCGGUUCAUCAUUCCUGUAUCAUACUUGAACCAACCUUCAUUUCAAGAUUUGUUGAGUCAAGCUGAGGAAGAAUUUGGGUAUGAACAUCCAAUGGGUGGUCUCACUAUUCCUUGUGGAGAAGAUGUGUUCUUAGAUAUAACUUCUCGUUUCAAUAGGUGCUAAUUGCGUGAAGAUGAGACUGACUUAGAUGUAGACUAUACUUGACACAGUUUUGUAUCGUAGUUUUAGCCUUGAAAAUAUCCCCUCUUGCCAUUUUUGUUAUUUGUUUAGACAAGUGUAAAAGAAUGUUAAUCUGAAUGAGAAGUUUUCUACAUGAUGUUUCUUAGCACAUUUUCUAUAAAUCUGAUUUAUAUAUCACAUUUUCUCUUUAUCUAUCGAUAAGAUUUAAAUUAAACUAUUAACUCCACAUUUUAUAACAAAAUUAAUUAAAAAAACUACUUAGAAGAGAUAAGAAGAUAAGUUUAAAACAAAACGAGUGAUGUAACAGCAGAGAAAUAAAGCUAAGCAUAUGGCUGACUAAUUCAAUAGUAGUUGGGGUGAGGAGGUUGAGAGAGAUUUGUGUGUAACGUGUGGGGAGCUAACCGAAACAGUGAGCCACUUAUUAUUUAGUUGUAAGUAUGCAAUUCAAGUAUGGAAUUUGUGUAAUAAGUGGGUUGGGAUAACCUCUGUUUCGCAAAAUAUAUUAUAAAUUUGUCCGUCAUAAAUUGAUGCUUUUCGUUGACCAUAGCAAAACAUUUUUCUUUAGCUGUAGGGUGGCUGGUAGGAUCUGGCAAGGGUAGGAAGAUUCUCAGUUUAUCAUAAUAGGGCUUAUGUACACUUUAACCAAUAUGAAAUUAUUGGUAUGAACAACACUGUUAAUAAGAUUUGGAGGAACAUGUGGAUGGCUAUUGUUUGGAGGAUAUGGACUCGUAGAAAUAACAUAAUCUUUAGAGGUGGAAUUUUAGAUUCAGAAGAGGUUUUGCAUUGGCACAGAUCAUGACAUGGGCAUGACAACAGUUGUUUUUCAUAUUCUGAUUGGUGCCUAAAUCCAAUUGGAUGCCUGCAGUCUGUCAAAAAGGGCUAGUCUGUUAAAAAGGGUUGAAAUUAAGUGUUUAGAUAUUGGUACAGGGAUACCUGCAAAUUCUCAGUAAUUGUUACAUCAAUAUACAAGGAGUAAGUCUGCAUGUUAUGACCUUCUAUUUGCUUUGUUUAUGUGUUUCUUUUUAGUGCUCAGGUAUGCAUCUGUAUUGAACACACAGUGCAAAUUAACAUUGGAGUCCACGGGAGAUGAAACAAUUGUUGUUGAAGUUUCUCUCUAACCACAUGACAACCAAUGUCAAUGUGUUUAGUAUGUUUAUGGAAGCUGCUAAUUGUGCUAUAUUUCUUGCAGAUUGACUGUCAUAGAACAGGCUAGCUGCGUUGCAAGGUGCAAUGUGCAGAUCUUCAAGCAAGUAGACGAGCCACUCUAUCUUACUGUAGGUGGAGGCUAAAGCCCGAUACUCCGUUGUAUCUGGAAGUUAUUAAUGACCCAAAGUCGAAAAAGGUAAUGGAGGAAGAGGUGUAUAUGAUUGAGAAGAACAAAACUUGGAAGCUUGUUGACAUACCUCGAGAUUGAAAGGUACAUCAAAUGGAUGUCAAGUCAAUAUUUCUAAAUGGAUUUCUUGAACAAGAAAUUUCAGGUUUCAUUGGGGAAGGAAGAGAAGACAAAGUUUAUAAGUUGUCUAAAACCAUUUAUGGCUUAAAAGAUGUUCCCAGAGCAUGGUAUUAUCUUAUCAGGCUUAGGCUUUGAUAAAAGUCUUUUAAAAGGUGUUGAAUGGAGAUUAAGCAAAGUGAGGAUGAAAAAAAAAAUUGCAUAUUUGUUUACCAAGUCACUUCCAGCCAACAAGUUUGAGUUCUCAAUACAGAAGAUUGAAAUUUGCAGUUCAAAAAAUCAAAGAGGAGUGUUGAAUGUUGUGUUUUUUAACUGCAUAUAAAUGCACAUAAGUGCACGUGAUAUUUUAUUCUUCUGUUUUAAUUAUGUUUUAAUUGCUGAUUUAAUAUUUCUAGGUAUCUGGUCAUAAAAUCAUUUAAGAGUCAGUACUCCAGAUACUGUAAAUGUAAUUGUUAGCACAGAUAAUAAAAUAUCUUCCUCUAAUUUAUUCUUAAAAAAAACCAACAAUCUCAUCCUCUUACAAAAUGGAAACUGUGAUUUGUAGAAUCUAUAUAUGGACAAAAGAAACCUUACAUCAACUGCAUAUGAAAUUUUUAUAACAAAGGAUCUUAUCCAUUGAAAUCAAUGGGUACAACACGGCUUAAUUUUAAGCAUAUUAUAACUGUCUCGGCUGGGGAAAAAUCCGCUAGUGUAAAAAACUAAAAAACCUUUCAAACCCGUUAUGAGUAUAGUGGAGUCUUUUAGGUGUUGUAUACCAUUCCAAUUGCUGGGAGUAGUAAACAUUGAAAUACAUAAAUAGAAAGACUUAGCAUUUGAAUUCGUUAUCAUUACUCAAAAAAUUGGUAAUAAUAGUUACAAGUUCGAGAAGAUGCCUAUUGUACAAAAAUGUCUCUAAUAAUCUAUGUCAGUCUCCUAAAGUGAGAUCUAUUGUCCCUUGAAGCAAGAAAUUGUAUGUUGGAAGACAUCUUCACUACAAGGAAUUGUGAGGCCACCCAUGGGAUGAUCAUAUCCAAACUCUUCCUCCGCUUGACUCAGUAAGUCCUGGAAUGAAGGUUGGUUCAAGUAUGAGAUGGGAAUUACAAACCGAUUUUGUUUCUCUCCAACAUACACGGCAAAAUAGCCCUUUGGUAUGUCUUCAGAUUUUGAAGUUGCUUGUCUUGCUGUGAAUGAUGCCCGUCGGAUGGCAGGUAAACGGAAACCCAUUUUUUGAGUUUGUUUGAAGGAAGAAGAACAAUCUCAAAUUUACAGAGAAUGAACCUAAAUUUUGAUACUUGAGGAUUACAAAGGCUUGUGUUGUUUUUGAAGGUAUAUAGGAUAGUGUAUAUAUAGCUGUUAGAAGAAGGAGAGCAUACAGAUGAGAUAUCGCGUGGUGUUGUCUUCAGUACUUCUAUCAAGCAUAAAGAAGGGUACAAGUGUGUAACCCCACCUUGUUGAACAACGAACAACAUUAAGCCUCCACAUGCACCCAAUGAGAUGUGGCUAAAUGAAGGCCUAAGUCUCUUCAUGCAUUAAUUGGUAUUACAUAUUUUGUAAAACAUGUUUUGGACAUGUUUUCUUCACACUACCUAAAAUUGAAGAACAGCUGGAUAGAUGAAAUUAUAAGGCAAUGGACAGCGAGAGAUGAUAGACCAUUAUAUUCAUGAGAUUUGAAAUCAUACGUCUAAUCUAUUUCAGGUGAAUUGGCUUGGGAUAGUGUACUAUCGACUGUAACAUCUCAUAUUAAUCCCUAAGAAACACUUCCAAGACAACACCAUGUGCCCUUUCUGUCUUAUCGAUCCCAUGACUCUUAUCUCAUAGCCUUCCACCCUCAAUCAUUCAAGUAGCCGAUGAUAUCCUACAAAACAUUUCAUCUAUAUAUAUUCAAGGCUCUAAGCCUUUGGGACAACAAAAAUCAUUUCCUAAACCAUUUUAACUUCUCAAACUUGCAUCUUAUUUGCAGUUCUCUUUUCUCAAUUUUCUCUUCCCAAGUAUCAACAUAUAAAACAUGGGUUUUCAUUUACGUGGUAUCAGAAAGGCAUCCCUUCCUGCAAUCCAAGCCUUUUCAAAAGUUGUGAACGUGCCAAAGGGUUACAUUGCAGUCUAUGUUGGAGAUAAAAUGAAGCGGUUCAUGAUCCCUGUAUCAUACUUGAACCAACCUUCAUUUCAAGAUUUGUUGAGUCAAGCUGAGGAAGAAUUUGGGUAUGACCAUCCAAUGGGUGGUCUCACUAUUCCUUGUGGAGAAGAUGUGUUCUUAGAUAUCACUUCUCGUUUCAAUAGGUGCUAGUUGCAUGAAGAGACUGACUUAGAUGUAGACUCUACUUGACACAUUUUUGUAUCUUAGUUUCUGACCAUCAAAAUAUCUCCUCUCUCUCAAUUUUUGUUAUCUUGUUUAGGCAAGUGUAAAAAAAUGUUAAUCUGAAUGAGAAGUUUUCUACACGAUGUUUCUUCCCAAAUGUUCUAUGAAUCUGAUCUACAUAUCCCAUUUUCUCUUUUUCUAUCAAUCAGAUUUAAAUUAAACUAUUAACUCCACAUUUUCUU
Molecule: long non-coding RNA, 21479 nt
Filed under: Phaseolus vulgaris (common bean)
Lineage: Eukaryota; Viridiplantae; Streptophyta; Magnoliopsida; Fabales; Fabaceae
Description: long non-coding RNA (PVUL_LNC000055)
Source: RNAcentral